GGCUUUCACAGUAGAACAAAGAAAUGCACUAGAAUCAACAAAAAACUGCACACAAGCACAGACUGACAAACACCAAUGUGCAAAAGAAGAUAACAGUUUUGUUUCUGUCAGAAUCAUUCAUACUUUCUGAUGUCUGGUAACUACCUCAAUAAGUUCUUCACUCAAAAGAUGGUGUGAGUAUGGAACAGAAUGCCAUGGAAGUAGUAGAUGUGGGUUCAACUGCGAUGUCUGCGAGUGUUUGAAUAGGCCCUCUCAUCUCCCAACGGCAUGGCAAAGAUUCGUUCCACUGGACUCUUGCACCAGUCACAGAACAUGCUGAAGGUUAUAAGCUGGAAUCAGUGGUCAACUGGAUAAUAGAAUUAAGGUCAUAUUAUCAACUCUGUCAUUAGAAUGAUGGACAGCAGG
Hypanus sabinus (Atlantic stingray) is the source of this 405-nucleotide long non-coding RNA. RefSeq lists it as uncharacterized. NCBI's taxonomy places the organism in Eukaryota, Metazoa, Chordata, Chondrichthyes, Myliobatiformes, Dasyatidae. The transcript is spliced from 4 exons. The record is from RefSeq and is a predicted model, not a curated record.